This 409-nucleotide long non-coding RNA is filed under the name Haliotis rubra (blacklip abalone). RNAcentral's name for it is "uncharacterized LOC124264521". The record is from RNAcentral. Lineage: Eukaryota; Metazoa; Mollusca; Gastropoda; Lepetellida; Haliotidae.
AUGGGAAGCAGCAGAAGGAUGUCCUGACCUAGCAUGGACGACAUUCGAGCUGGCAGUAGUGUUACAGUGGAAUGACUUUCAGGUGUCUGUUGAUGACAAUUUGGUGUUCACUCUGAAGAUCCCCAAACCGAAACCAGUGAACGCUCUCACAGUGGCAGGAGAUGUUGAACUCAGGGAAAUUUACAUAGCGUGAUAUAUUUCAAGAUACCACGCUCAUAACUGUUAAUUGUCCAACAAUUCGAUUUGUCUUAUAGAUGACACUCAAUGCUUUUGUUUAUUGUUCCAAGGACACGGUGUAACUAUAGUAAACAAUAUUACAACUGAGAAAGACAUAAAAUGUUUUACAAGCGUUACAGGAUUAUGAAACAAUGUCCAUGUCUUUAUUUUAAACAUUGGCUUGAAAAUGGAA